Molecule: ribosomal RNA, 470 nt
Filed under: uncultured bacterium
Lineage: Bacteria
Description: SSU rRNA
Rfam family: Bacterial small subunit ribosomal RNA
Source: RNAcentral
AGGACUAACGCUGGCGGCGUGCCUAACACAUGCAAGUCGAACGAGGGGUAGCAAUACCCCUAGUGGCAGACGGGUGAGUAACACGUAGUCAACCUACCUCUUAAUGGGGGAUAACUAGCCGAAAGGUUAGCUAAUACCGCAUACGAUCGUCGAGUGGCAUCACACGACGAUGAAAGGAGCAAUCCGUUGAGAGAGGGGACUGCGUCCCAUUAGUUAGUUGGUGGGGUAAUGGCCUACCAAGACUCCGAUGGGUAGCUGGCUUGAGAGAGCGACCAGCCACACUGGAACUGAGACACGGUCCAGACUCCUACGGGAGGCAGCAGUGAGGAAUUUUCCGCAAUGGGGGAAACCCUGACGGAGCGACGCCGCGUGUGGGAAGAAGGCCUUCGGGUCGUAAACCACUGUCGAGGGGGACGAGUAUUGACGGUACCCCUGGAGGAAGCCCCGGCUAACUACGCGCCAGCAGCCGC